RNAcentral lists this long non-coding RNA (233 nucleotides) under Gallus gallus (chicken). RNAcentral's name for it is "long non-coding RNA NONGGAT004064". The record is from RNAcentral. Lineage: Eukaryota; Metazoa; Chordata; Aves; Galliformes; Phasianidae.
UUAGCCAUAAAGAUGGUUAUGAGAAGUACACUGCCUGGAAAAGGAUUUGGACAAGUAAUGGGAAAAGCGAACCCAGCCCAAAAGCCUUCAUGGCUGAUCAACAGCUCCCUUAUUGGGUGCAGUGUACAAAGCCAGAGUGUGGUAAAUGGCGUCAGCUGACAAAGGAAAUCCAGCUGACACCGCAAAUAGCAAAAACGUACAGAUGUGGUAUGAAACUAAACAAUUCCACCAAG